AACCUUAUGGACCUGCGGGCGUAUACCUGCGGAAGGAUCAUUACCGAGUUUACAAACUCCCAAACCCUUUGUGAACCUUACCAUAUUGUUGCUUCGGCGGGACCGCCCCGGCGCCUUCGGGCAACGGAACCAGGCGCCCGCCGGAGGCCCCAAACUCUUAUGUCUUUAGUGGUUUUCUCCUCUGAGUGACACAUAAACAAAUAAAUAAAAACUUUCAACAACGGAUCUCAGAUCGGAAGA
RNAcentral lists this unclassified non-coding RNA (240 nucleotides) under soil metagenome. RNAcentral describes it as "partial contains 5.8S ribosomal RNA, internal transcribed spacer 2, and large subunit ribosomal RNA". The record is from RNAcentral.